This 778-nucleotide ribosomal RNA is filed under the name uncultured Neocallimastigales. RNAcentral describes it as "partial large subunit ribosomal RNA". It matches the Rfam family "Eukaryotic large subunit ribosomal RNA", at positions 24 to 628 of the family's 3401-position model. The record is from RNAcentral. Lineage: Eukaryota; Fungi; Neocallimastigomycota; Neocallimastigomycetes; Neocallimastigales.
UAUCUCUGUAGAGUCUGCAUAUCAAUAAGCGGAGGAAAAGAAACUAACUAGGAUUCCCUUAGUAACGGCGAGUGAAGCGGGAAGAGCUCAAAUUUGAAAUCUUCAAGGUUCUACCUUGACGAAUUGUAGUUUAAAGAAGUGUUUUCUGUUGGAUGUUUUGGUAAAAGUUCUUUGGAAUAGGACAUCAUAGAGGGUGAGAAUCCCGUAUUUGACCAUUAUUUCCAGCUUUGUGAUACACUUUCAAAGAGUCGGAUUGUUUGGGGAAUGCAGUCCAAAAUGGGUGGUAAAUUUCAUCUAAAGCUAAAUACUGGCGAGAGACCGAUAGCGAACAAGUACCGUGAGGGAAAGAUGAAAAGAACUUUGAAAAGAGAGUUAAACAGUACGUGAAAUUGUCAAAAGGGAAGCGUUUGACACCAGUGUUGUUUUCUCGAAAAUCAAUUAAAAAAGGCAGGAUUUUGUGUUGUAUUGACUUUAUCAGCUUUCUGCACUCUUUUCUUGUCUUUUUUUAAUGCACUUUUCGUUUAACAAGUCAACAUCAAUUUCUUUUGUUGUAAAAGGGUCAUUGGAAGGUGGCUUUCUUUUCGGAGAAAGUGUUUAUAGCCUUUGGCCUCUGCAAUCGGAGAGGAUUGAGGUCUGCAGCGUAGAUCCUUCGGGGUUAGAUACAUUUGUGCUAAGUUAUAGCCUUUCAUAGACAACUUGUUGACUAUGAUCAGUCAUGUAGCUUACUCGCUUAUGCUAUUUUACCUACGCUUAGGAUGUUGACGAUCAGCUGAGCGCG